Molecule: long non-coding RNA, 3680 nt
Organism: Agrilus planipennis (emerald ash borer)
Lineage: Eukaryota; Metazoa; Arthropoda; Insecta; Coleoptera; Buprestidae
Exons: 3
Source: RefSeq, a predicted model, not a curated record
UGUACUUUUAUGCCAAUUGGAAUUAAAACUAAUGUUUUUUAAUUUUGUAGACGAAGUUACUACCUACAUGAAUCAACUAUAAAGACUUGAUCGACAAGGAUUUAAAACAGACUUAUGUGCAAAGGAAACAAUACCUUCUAUAGAGACUUGCACCCCUCGUUUGUCCCUUAUAUAAGGUAGGAACUUAUAGAACUUAUUUUUAAUAAUAAAUAAGAAUAGAAGUAGACGCAAUUAAUAAAUGUUGAUUUUCAAUUACAUUAAGUUAACUCCCUAUUAAUGGUAACCUGAAAUGUUUAUUAAUCCAGAAAAAAAUUCAUUUAUUAAAUUUCAAAACUUUCGCGCCUGAAUCCCCAAAAGUUGGUAUUGAAACCCUCUCGUCUCUGAUUGGUCGGUCAACAAUGCAUCUUUCAAGUGACGCCAUUCUUACAAAAUUUUCCUCUCAAACUUAGCUCCACAAUUUUUGGAAAUUUCUUAUAGUGAAAACGCAAGACCCUACGAUUUUUUUAUCAAAACGCGUUCUUUUAAUAGUCCGCUACAUGAGGUAUGUAUUUUUUUAUUUCGCCCCUAAAGGAUUUUCGUGAUUUUAUAAGAUAAACUUUCAGUAAUGUAACCUAUACCAUGAUAAAUAUUAAAAUUAUGAAAAACCGUAAAUAUAGUAUUGGUAACGUACUAAAUUCAUUAAGUUUUUCAAAGCAAGACUACUGCAAAGAUUUUUCUUCAUAUAUUUGUUGAUAUUCUAACGAUAGUGUAAAAUUUUGAUACUUGGACAUCUUCAUGAUAACUCAAUACAAAUACAACUACAUUGCAUUGCAUUUCCUAAAUAUCAUUUAAAACAUAUUUUCGUUCGUUGUUUUAGUAAUUUAAAGUUAGAAUUUUGUCACAAAUUCAUUUGUUUUCAAAAAAACAAAAGCAUACAGAACAAUAUAAUCAACACAAGAAGGUACUCUGAUGUCAACCAUUAAAACAUUUUACAAAAUAACAAUUUGUUGUGCUUUGGCAUCUGUAAUACGAAGCAUAAAAAUGACAAAGUUUUACUAAUUUUCGUAACUGUUAUCGUAUAAAAUCAACUCUUAAGGCAUUUCCUUUGUUUUUGUAGUAACUGGAAUGGAUUUUAUUAGUUUUUAAUUGUAAGACUUCAUCAACAUAUCAUCAAUACUCCACUACAAAGAUUUAAUUCACAUCAAGCUGAAAGCCUCCUUCAGUACAAAGGAAAUAGGACAUCCCUACAUCUCUGUUGAAGCUGCCAUCCACUGUCAUAACUUUUAAUUGGACUGAAAAUUAUACACCUUCGAAGUAAUGGCAACACCUACACUAACCAACUGGGAUGGACUCAAAUGAUAUGGACUUCUAAAAAGGCUUCUACUCCAUAUAUUAGGAUUAUAACGUACGUACUAGUCGACCCAAGUAAGAAUCAGGAUAAAAAACUAACAGCUUACAAGUACACCGUUUCACUACUGAUAUGAUGCUUCUCGAUGGUCCCCCACCACCACCCAGUCUCGCAUAGCAUUCGCUCCCCCUCCCACCAAGCAACACGGAGAGGAUGAGGACCCUGGACAUCCAACGCUGGAUAGAUUAAGGUUUCGGUGAACCCUAUAAGGUCUAGCCGACGCCUCAAAGUAGGUCACUAAUGAAUUUUGCUUCAAAUAGACCUGAGUGACAAGUUUUUAUAUUUCUAUUUUUGAUUUUUAUUACUUUGGGGCUAUAUUUGAUUUUCGUGCCCAAUAAGAUAAGUUACAAACUGUAAUUUAGUGUACUAUUGGGCUCCUCUGUUGGUCCAUUAUUACCCACUUUAGACGCUCCACGUGUUAGGGACCGACGUAUGCAGGUGCUGCGCCUGUGACGUCAAACUUUGAUUCUCAUUUGGGUUUUAUAAUGAUUAGCUGUUGGUUCAGGUCCUUUACAACGUAUCACAUAUCCAUAUCUAUCUGUUGUUGUUUUUUGAUGAACUGAUGUUAUAAAAUAGAGAACAUUUAAAAUUACGAUUGUAAUACAUGCAUGGUGUUUUGUCCACGUUGUCCCUUGGGUUUUGUGUUCCACAUACAUACAAACUUUUUACAAAUUUAUUAAAUGUUGUGCAUGUUUACUUGUCACUCGUUGGGUCUAUCUGAUAUUUCUUUCAGCUAGUGGAUAUAACAGAGCAGUAAAGAAGACAGUGUUGUUGAAAAGUUAAGUGUUGGAGUAAUGUAGCCGAGAUCUACCUCUACUUCUCUUUACUCCUGUUUCUGCUUCUCAUGUCUCAGAUGGUGUCCUACCAACUUUCUUUAAUUGAUUAUCAAAAUUAAUUUAUUUCAAUCAUCCUGCAUUUUCAAAAUCUCAUUUUUACCAAAACUAAUGCUACCCAUCUGAAGCACACACUCAUAGUAUAUAAAAUAUUAAAAGUUAAAAUAAAUCAAGGAGCAGAUAUAGAAAUUUUUGUUUGGGAGGAGUUUAGUAUUUAAUCCCAUCCCCACCAGGGAGUGUAACACCUCCAUGGAAAGCUCAAGAGUCGAGGAACAAUUUGGUGGGGAUCUGGGUUGUAGAAACCCCUGAUUCAAAAGCUGUGAAUUACGCCCAUCUCCUUAGACAAUCCAUGGGACAAGAGCUUGACUGAUGCUGUAUGGUUCGGUUGGGGCAGGUGUUUUGGAAUAGUCAUGGCGUUUAAAAUAUUAGAUAAACCUUUCUCCCACGUAUUGUCUAUGGAGAAGAGGUUUUUGGCAACCUGGACCCCCACCAAUGUAUUCCUCUACUCAAAUACUAAACUUCAGUCUUUUGUAUCACAAUCUAAACUUGACAAUUACCCCGAUUUUGUAAGUAAUGAAGGACAUACAGUACUAACACUCUACCAGUGGGUUCACAAUAAAUUACAUGUGUUUUAUUUUUUACUUUUGAAUAUGUUCCAGCACGAGCGGUAAGUAAAGAAAUACUUUACGUCCAACCAAAUAUCUUUUUAAACAAUGGUACUAACUUUCUUUUUUAUUUUCUUUUUCAGCAAUUCGUGGACCACGUUCCUGCCUUCAUUCUUUCUCUUCUCCCUUCAGAAGAGAAAGAAUAUCAAUUAAUUAACACACACACACACAACAUAAUUACACAUUUUGAUAGAGUCGUGAUCGAAGGUCUCCUCUUUUAAACUUAUUUAAACGUUAUUGCUUAUUUGGGGUGUCUGUUGUUCGGUUAAAGUAUUAAUUCUCCAUCUUCUUUAAACUUUGUCGUGGUUCUGUUGUCCCAUGUCUCGAUUCGUUACAGGUUGGUUGUAUAUUUGUGGCAACAGUCUCCUCAGUUCUUUAUAAAUACAAAAAAGGGUACCUAGUGAAUUGGUAAUUUUUGGUUUCCACUGUAUCACAUGAAUUGCUUACGAUUUAUGAUUAAUUAUACAGAUAGGUAGGAUAUAUGUAGAGUAUUUAUGGUGUAGGUAUUGUAUAUAUCUACGUACAAGUAGAAUGUAGGCUAAGUUAUGCUCCACAACACCUUACCCCAUUUAGAACGCCCAUGACUCUGUUCUACUACGAGACAAGGUCGACCUCUCGCCCUGAUUUCUUAGCAAGGACUUGAAUAUAUUUGAAUAAGAGGCAAAUUUAAUAUAAAUAAUGUCGUUACAUUCGACGUUUCGUUAGGUAUAUCCGAACAUCGUGACUGUUUCAAAGGUACUACACAAAAAGUGCGUGAUUUUUUAAUCGCCCUUGUUUUGAACUUAUUAAUUUUAU